AUUUGAAUAGUUUAUUUUAAAAUAUGAAUUUGUGGAGUUCAAGAUAACAUAAAGUUUUCAGGUA
RNAcentral lists this transfer RNA (64 nucleotides) under Dicyrtomina saundersi. RNAcentral's name for it is "tRNA-His". Lineage: Eukaryota; Metazoa; Arthropoda; Collembola; Symphypleona; Dicyrtomidae. The record is from RNAcentral.